UGGCGGCGUGCCUAACACAUGCAAGUCGAACGGAGCUGCUUUGAUGAAGUUUUCGGAUGGAUUUAAAACAGCUUAGUGGCGGACGGGUGAGUAACGCGUGGGUAACCUGCCUCAUACAGGGGGAUAACAGUUAGAAAUGACUGCUAAUACCGCAUAAGACCACAGCACCGCAUGGUGCGGGGGUAAAAACUCCGGUGGUAUGAGAUGGACCCGCGUCUGAUUAGCUAGUUGGUAAGGUAACGGCUUACCAAGGCGACGAUCAGUAGCCGACCUGAGAGGGUGACCGGCCACAUUGGGACUGAGACACGGCCCAAACUCCUACGGGAGGCAGCAGUGGGGAAUAUUGCACAAUGGGGGAAACCCUGAUGCAGCGACGCCGCGUGAGCGAAGAAGUAUUUCGGUAUGUAAAGUUCUAUCAGCAGGGAAGAAAAUGACGGUACCUGACUAAGAAGCACCGGCUAAAUACGUGCCAGCAGCCGCGGUAAUACGUAUGGUGCAAGCGUUAUCCGGAUUUACUGGGUGUAAAGGGAGCGUAGACGGAUGGGCAAGUCUGAUGUGAAAACCCGGGGCUCAACCCCGGGACUGCAUUGGAAACUGUUCAUCUAGAGUGCUGGAGAGGUAAGUGGAAUUCCCAGUGUAGCGGUGAAAUGCGUAGAUAUUUAGGAGGAACACCAGUGGCGAAGGCCGCUUACUGGACAGUAACUGACGUUGAGGCUCGAAAGCGUGGGGAGCAAACAGGAUUAGAUACCCCUGGUAAUCCCCCCCGUAACGAUGACUACUAGGUGUCGGGUGGCAAAACCAUUCGGGGCCGCAGCAAACGCAAUAAGUAGUGCGCCUGGGGAGUACGUUCGCAAGAAUGAAACUCAAAGGAAUUGACGGGGACCCGCACAAGCGGUGGAGCAUGUGGUUUAAUUCGAAGCAACGCGAAGAACCUUACCUGCUCUUGACAUCCCGCUGACCGGACGAUAAUGCGUCCUUCCCUUCGGGGCAGCGGAGACAGGUGGUGCAUGGUUGUCGUCAGCUCGUGUCGUGAGAUGUUGGGUUAAGUCCCGCAACGAGCGCAACCCCUAUCUUUAGUAGCCAGCGGCCAGGCCGGGCACUCUAGAGAGACUGCCGGGGAUAACCCGGAGGAAGGUGGGGAUGACGUCAAAUCAUCAUGCCCCUUAUGAGCAGGGCUACACACGUGCUACAAUGGCGUAAACAAAGGGAAGCGAGACCGCGAGGUGGAGCAAAUCCCAAAAAUAACGUCUCAGUUCGGAUUGUAGUCUGCAACUCGACUACAUGAAGCUGGAAUCGCUAGUAAUCGCGAAUCAGAAUGUCGCGGUGAAUACGUUCCCGGGUCUUGUACACACCGCCCGUCACACCAUGGGAGUCAGUAACGCCCGAAGUCAGUGACCCAACCGUAAAGAGGGAGCUGCCGAAGGCGGGACCGAUAACUGG
RNAcentral lists this ribosomal RNA (1440 nucleotides) under uncultured organism. Its description in RNAcentral is "16S ribosomal RNA". It matches the Rfam family "Bacterial small subunit ribosomal RNA". The record is from RNAcentral.